This 553-nucleotide ribosomal RNA is filed under the name uncultured bacterium. Its description in RNAcentral is "bacterial SSU rRNA". It matches the Rfam family "Bacterial small subunit ribosomal RNA", at positions 371 to 916 of the family's 1533-position model. The record is from RNAcentral.
CCNGGGCGAAAGCAGAUCCAGCAAUGCUCGCGUGAGUGAAGAAGGCCUUCGGGUUGUAAAGCUCUUUUGUCAGGGAAGAAACGGUGAGGGCUAAUAUCNCUUGCUAAUGACGGUACCUGAAGAAUAAGCACCGGCUAACUACGUGCCAGCAGCCGCGGUAAUACGUAGGGUGCAAGCGUUAAUCGGAAUUACUGGGCGUAAAGCGUGCGCAGGCGGUUUUGUAAGUCUGAUGUGAAAUCCCCGGGCUCAACCUGGGAAUUGCAUUGGAGACUGCAAGGCUAGAAUCUGGCAGAGGGGGGUAGAAUUCCACGUGUAGCAGUGAAAUGCGUAGAUAUGUGGAGGAACACCGAUGGCGAAGGCAGCCCCCUGGGUCAAGAUUGACGCUCAUGCACGAAAGCGUGGGGAGCAAACAGGAUUAGAUACCCUGGUAGUCCACGCCCUAAACGAUGUCUACUAGUUGUCGGGUCUUAAUUGACUUGGUAACGCAGCUAACGCGUGAAGUAGACCGCCUGGGGAGUACGGUCGCAAGAUUAAAACUCAAAGGAAUUGACGG